This 75-nucleotide transfer RNA is filed under the name Candidatus Odinarchaeum yellowstonii. RNAcentral's name for it is "tRNA-Ala". It matches the Rfam family "tRNA". Rfam says of the family: Transfer RNA (tRNA) molecules are approximately 80 nucleotides in length. Their secondary structure includes four short double-helical elements and three loops (D, anti-codon, and T loops). Further hydrogen bonds mediate the characteristic L-shaped molecular structure. tRNAs have two regions of fundamental functional importance: the anti-codon, which is responsible for specific mRNA codon recognition, and the 3' end, to which the tRNAs corresponding amino acid is attached (by aminoacyl-tRNA synthetases). tRNAs cope with the degeneracy of the genetic code in two manners: having more than one tRNA (with a specific anti-codon) for a particular amino acid; and 'wobble' base-pairing, i.e. permitting non-standard base-pairing at the 3rd anti-codon position. RNAcentral also lists the same sequence under 2 other names. Lineage: Archaea; Promethearchaeati; Candidatus Odinarchaeota; Candidatus Odinarchaeia; Candidatus Odinarchaeales; Candidatus Odinarchaeaceae. The record is from RNAcentral.
GGGCCGGUAGAUCAGCGGAAGAUCGCCGCCUUGGCAUGGCGGAGGCCGCGAGUUCAAAUCUCGCCCGGUCCACCA